GCCGGCAUAGCUCAGUUGGUAGAGCAACGGUUUUGUAAACCGAAGGUCGGGGGUUCGAGUCCCUCUGCCGGCACCA
This 76-nucleotide transfer RNA is filed under the name Pseudomonadota bacterium. RNAcentral describes it as "tRNA-Thr". It matches the Rfam family "tRNA". Rfam says of the family: Transfer RNA (tRNA) molecules are approximately 80 nucleotides in length. Their secondary structure includes four short double-helical elements and three loops (D, anti-codon, and T loops). Lineage: Bacteria; Pseudomonadati; Pseudomonadota. The record is from RNAcentral. RNAcentral also lists the same sequence under 4 other names.